UACGUAGGCAGCGAGCGUUGUUCGGAAUUACUGGGCGUAAAGAGUGUGUAGGCGGUGCUCUAAGUUCGGUGUGAAAUCUCCUGGCUCAACUGGGAGGGUGCGCCGGAAACUGGAGUGCUUGAGCGUGGGAGAGGAAAGUGGAAUUCCUGGUGUAGCGGUGAAAUGCGUAGAUAUCAGGAGGAACACCUGUGGUGUAGACGGCUUUCUGGACCAUAGCUGACGCUGAGACACGAAAGCGUGGGUAGCAAACAGG
Molecule: ribosomal RNA, 253 nt
Filed under: uncultured bacterium
Lineage: Bacteria
Description: partial 16S ribosomal RNA
Rfam family: Bacterial small subunit ribosomal RNA
Source: RNAcentral